RNAcentral lists this unclassified non-coding RNA (400 nucleotides) under soil metagenome. Its description in RNAcentral is "partial contains 5.8S ribosomal RNA, internal transcribed spacer 2, and large subunit ribosomal RNA". The stretch from base 1 to 122 matches the Rfam family "5.8S ribosomal RNA", at positions 35 to 154 of the family's 154-position model. The record is from RNAcentral.
GAUGAAGAACGUAGCGAAAUGCGAUACUUGGUGUGAAUUGCAGAAUCCCGUGAACCAUCGAGUCUUUGAACGCAAGUUGCGCCUCAAGCCAUUAGGUUGAGGGCACGUCUGCCUGGGCGUCACAUAUCGUUGCCUGAUGCCAGUUUCCUCGUGAUGGGUGACUGUGCAGGGCGAAUGAUGGCUUCCCGUGAGCAUUGUUGCCUCAUGGUUGGUUGAAAAUUGAGUCCUUGGUAGGGAGCGCCGUGAUAGAUGGUGGUUGAGUGACGAACGAGACCCAAUCAUGUGAGACCCCUACCGAAUUUGGCCUUCAUGACCCACAUGCGUCGUUGGAACGCUCAUGACGAGACCUCAGGUCAGGCGGGGCUACCCGCUGAGUUUAAGCAUAUCAAUAAGCGGAGGA